Molecule: unclassified non-coding RNA, 612 nt
Filed under: Hevea brasiliensis (rubber tree)
Lineage: Eukaryota; Viridiplantae; Streptophyta; Magnoliopsida; Malpighiales; Euphorbiaceae
Source: RNAcentral
GAAUUGUGGAAGGGCACUUGAACAUGUAGAUCUUCCAGAGUUUGCAAAAGGUCUCUCUUCAGAACAUGAUUUUGACCUCCAGGCUUUUUGCUUUGGUGCUGACAAAGAGUUAUUAAGACAACCUCGAGUNNNNNNNNUGGGUCUCAUUCAGAACUCCAUAGCUCUUCCAACAACUGCCCCUUUUUUGGAUCAAAAGAGGGCUAUUUUCCAGAAAUUGAAGCCAAUGAUUGAUGCUGCAGGUUCUUCAGGAGUGAACAUUUUAUGUUUGCAAGAAGCAUGGAUGAUGCCAUUUGCGUUCUGUACUCGUGAGAAGAGGUGGUGUGAAUUUGCAGAACAUGUGGAUGGGGAGUCAACACAAUUUCUUCAGGAAUAUGCACGAAAAUACAACAUGGUCAUCAUAAGUCCAAUUCUUGAAAGAGAUGUGAAUCAUGGGGAGACUCUCUGGAAUACUGCUAUUAUAAUUGGAAAUCAUGGGAACAUAAUCGGCAAGCAUCGAAAGAACCAUAUACCUAGAGUUGGUGACUUCAAUGAAAGCACAUAUUAUAUGGAAGGAAAUACUGGACAUCCCGUGUUUGAGACUGCUUAUGGAAAGAUUGCUGUUAAUAUAUGCUA